Molecule: ribosomal RNA, 305 nt
Filed under: uncultured bacterium
Lineage: Bacteria
Description: bacterial SSU rRNA
Rfam family: Bacterial small subunit ribosomal RNA
Source: RNAcentral
GCCUACGGGACGCAGCAGUGGGGAAUAUUGCACAAUGGGGGAAACCCUGAUGCAGCGACGCCGCGUGAGCGAUGAAGCAUUUCGGUAUGUAAAGCUCUAUCAGCAGGGAAGAAAAUGACGGUACCUGACUAAGAAGCCCCGGCUAACUACGUGCCAGCAGCCGCGGUAAUACGUAUGGGGCAAGCGUUAUCCGGAUUUACUGGGUGUAAAGGGGGCGUAGGCGGCAGGGCAAGCCUGAUGUGAAAGCCCGGGGCUCAACCCCGGGACUGCAUUGGGAACUGCCCCGCUCGAGUGCCGGAGGGGCG